This 440-nucleotide ribosomal RNA is filed under the name uncultured bacterium. RNAcentral's name for it is "bacterial SSU rRNA". It matches the Rfam family "Bacterial small subunit ribosomal RNA", at positions 954 to 1392 of the family's 1533-position model. The record is from RNAcentral.
GCUAAACGCGAAGAACCUUACCUGGCCCUGACAUGUCCGGAAUUCUGCAGAGAUGCGGAAGUGCCUUCGGGAAUCGGAACACAGGUGCUGCAUGGCUGUCGUCAGCUCGUGUCGUGAGAUGUUGGGUUAAGUCCCGCAACGAGCGCAACCCUUGUCCUUAGUUGCCAGCGAGUAAUGUCGGGAACUCUAAGGAGACUGCCGGUGACAAACCGGAGGAAGGUGGGGAUGACGUCAAGUCCUCAUGGCCCUUACGGCCAGGGCUACACACGUACUACAAUGGUCGGUACAGAGGGUUGCCAAACCGCAAGGUGGAGCCAAUCCCAGAAAGCCGAUCCCAGUCCGGAUCGGAGUCUGCAACUCGACUCCGUGAAGUCGGAAUCGCUAGUAAUCGCGGAUCAGCUAUGCCGCGGUGAAUACGUUCCCGGGUCUUGUACACACCG